AACGUAGGAGACGAGCGUUAUCCGGAAUUACUGGGCGUAAAGCGCGUGUAGGCGGUUGAGUAAGUUCGUCGUGAAAGCUUCCGGCUAAACUGGAAGAGGUCGAUGGAUACUGCUCGGCUGGAGUGAGGGAGAGGCAGGUGGAAUUCCGGGUGUAGUGGUGAAAUGCGUAGAGAUCCGGAGGAACACCAGUGGCGAAGGCGGCCUGCUGGUCCUCAACUGACGCUGAGACGCGAAAGCAUGGGGAGCGAACGGG
This 253-nucleotide ribosomal RNA is filed under the name uncultured prokaryote. RNAcentral's name for it is "partial 16S ribosomal RNA". It matches the Rfam family "Bacterial small subunit ribosomal RNA", at positions 524 to 776 of the family's 1533-position model. The record is from RNAcentral.